Molecule: microRNA, 18 nt
Filed under: Oryza sativa (Asian cultivated rice)
Lineage: Eukaryota; Viridiplantae; Streptophyta; Magnoliopsida; Poales; Poaceae
Description: microRNA osa-miR421
Source: RNAcentral
GGGGUGGUGGGAGAGGGG